RNAcentral lists this ribosomal RNA (467 nucleotides) under Gephyromantis granulatus. RNAcentral's name for it is "partial large subunit ribosomal RNA". It matches the Rfam family "Bacterial large subunit ribosomal RNA", at positions 1960 to 2606 of the family's 2925-position model. The record is from RNAcentral. Lineage: Eukaryota; Metazoa; Chordata; Amphibia; Anura; Mantellidae.
CAUAAUCACUUGUCUUUUAAAUAAAGACUCGUAUCAACGGCAUCACGAGGGUUCCACUGUCUCCUUUCUCUAAUCAGUGAAACUAAUCCCCCCGUGAAUAAAAAUAUAAGACGAGAAGACCCCAUGGAGCUUUAAAUCUAGCUACACCCCCUAACCAUACACCCUCUCACCAACAGGAGUCCUAUAUGCUAGACUUUAGGUUGGGGCGACCACGGAGCACAACCAAACCUCCACGACGAACGAGCCUACCCUCUUACCUAAGAAGCACACUUCUAAGGGUUAGUACCCUAGCACAGCGAUCCGAUAUCGAUCAACGGACUAAGUUACCCUGGGGAUAACAGCGCAAUCCAUUUCAAGAGCCCCUAUCGACAAAUGGGUUUACGACCUCGAUGUUGGAUCAGGGUAUCCUAGUGGUGCAGCAGCUACUAAAGGUUCGUUUGUUCAACGAUUAAAACCCUACGUGAUCU